Molecule: ribosomal RNA, 253 nt
Filed under: uncultured bacterium
Lineage: Bacteria
Description: partial 16S ribosomal RNA
Rfam family: Bacterial small subunit ribosomal RNA
Source: RNAcentral
UACGUAGGUGGCAAGCGUUGUCCGGAUUUACUGGGCGUAAAGAGCGCGCAGGCGGUCGUUCAAGUCGCGGGGGAAAGCCCCCGGCUCAACUGGGGAGGGUCACGCGAUACUGAUCGACUCGAAGGCAGGAGAGGGAAGUGGAAUUCCCGGUGUAGUGGUGAAAUGCGUAGAUAUCGGGAGGAACACCAGUGGCGAAGGCGACUUCCUGGCCUGUUCUUGACGCUGAGGCGCGAAAGCUAGGGGAGCAAACGGG